CUAGCUACAGGCUUAACACAUGCAAGUCGAGGGGCAUCAGGAAGAAAGCUUGCUUUCUUUGCUGGCGACCGGCGCACGGGUGAGUAACACGUAUCCAACCUGCCCUUUACUCGGGGAUAGCCUUUCGAAAGAAAGAUUAAUACCCGAUGGCAUAAUGAUUCCGCAUGGUUUCAUUAUUAAAGGAUUCCGGUAAAGGAUGGGGAUGCGUUCCAUUAGGUUGUUGGUGAGGUAACGGCUCACCAAGCCUUCGAUGGAUAGGGGUUCUGAGAGGAAGGUCCCCCACAUUGGAACUGAGACACGGUCCAAACUCCUACGGGAGGCAGCAGUGAGGAAUAUUGGUCAAUGGGCGCUAGCCUGAACCAGCCAAGUAGCGUGAAGGAUGAAGGCUCUAUGGGUCGUAAACUUCUUUUAUAUAAGAAUAAAGUGCAGUAUGUAUACUGUUUUGUAUGUAUUAUAUGAAUAAGGAUCGGCUAACUCCGUGCCAGCAGCCGCGGUAAUACGGAGGAUCCGAGCGUUAUCCGGAUUUAUUGGGUUUAAAGGGAGCGUAGGUGGACUGGUAAGUCAGUUGUGAAAGUUUGCGGCUCAACCGUAAAAUUGCAGUUGAUACUGUCAGUCUUGAGUACAGUAGAGGUGGGCGGAAUUCGUGGUGUAGCGGUGAAAUGCUUAGAUAUCACGAAGAACUCCGAUUGCGAAGGCAGCUCACUGGACUGCAACUGACACUGAUGCUCGAAAGUGUGGGUAUCAAACAGGAUUAGAUACCCUGGUAGUCCACACAGUAAACGAUGAAUACUCGCUGUUUGCGAUAUACAGUAAGCGGCCAAGCGAAAGCAUUAAGUAUUCCACCUGGGGAGUACGCCGGCAACGGUGAAACUCAAAGGAAUUGACGGGGGCCCGCACAAGCGGAGGAACAUGUGGUUUAAUUCGAUGAUACGCGAGGAACCUUACCCGGGCUUAAAUUGCAGUGGAAUGAUGUGGAAACAUGUCAGUGAGCAAUCACCGCUGUGAAGGUGCUGCAUGGUUGUCGUCAGCUCGUGCCGUGAGGUGUCGGCUUAAGUGCCAUAACGAGCGCAACCCUUAUCUUUAGUUACUAACAGGUUAUGCUGAGGACUCUAGAGAGACUGCCGUCGUAAGAUGUGAGGAAGGUGGGGAUGACGUCAAAUCAGCACGGCCCUUACGUCCGGGGCUACACACGUGUUACAAUGGGGGGUACAGGAGGCAGCUAGCGGGUGACCGUAUGCUAAUCCCAAAAGCCUCUCUCAGUUCGGAUCGAAGUCUGCAACCCGACUUCGUGAAGCUGGAUUCGCUAGUAAUCGCGCAUCAGCCACGGCGCGGUGAAUACGUUCCCGGGCCUUGUACACACCGCCCGUCAAGCCAUGGGAGCCGGGGGUACCUGAAGUACGUAACCGCAAGGAUCGUCCUAGGGUAAAACUGGAAACUGGG
This 1440-nucleotide ribosomal RNA is filed under the name uncultured organism. RNAcentral describes it as "SSU rRNA". It matches the Rfam family "Bacterial small subunit ribosomal RNA". The record is from RNAcentral.